UUCAAGUUGUGCUAGGUUCGUACUUAAGUAAUCUACAUGUUAAUACCCCUGUUAAUCAUGUUUUCCACCUUUAAAAUUCAUGAAGUAAUUAGAUUCAAACUAUUAAAUCUUGUUUAUGAAAUAUUGUUUAAUCCAUAUCUUUUCUGUUUUUUAUCUGUUUCGAGUACAAUUUGAGUCUAGGUGAUCAUAACAAAGCCUAAAAUAGAUCUAAAACCUUUUCAACAUAUUUUUCUACUAUUGGUGUAC
Molecule: long non-coding RNA, 246 nt
Filed under: Sorghum bicolor (sorghum)
Lineage: Eukaryota; Viridiplantae; Streptophyta; Magnoliopsida; Poales; Poaceae
Description: long non-coding RNA (SBIC_LNC017005)
Source: RNAcentral